CACGCCCUAAACGAUGCACACUAGUUGUUGUGAGGCUCGACCUUGCAGUAAUGCAGUUAACACAUUAAGUGUGCCGCCUGGGGAGUACGGUCGCAAGAUUAAAACUCAAAGGAAUAGACGGGGACCCGCACAAGCGGUGGAGCAUGUGGUUUAAUUCGACGAUACACGAAGAACCUUACCUGGACUUGACAUAGUAAGAACUUUCUAGAGAUAGAUUGGUGUCUGCGUGCAGAAACUGAUAUACAGGUGC
Molecule: ribosomal RNA, 250 nt
Filed under: uncultured bacterium
Lineage: Bacteria
Description: partial 16S ribosomal RNA
Rfam family: Bacterial small subunit ribosomal RNA
Source: RNAcentral